CGUAGGCGGUUUGUCGCGUCUGCUGUGAAAACCCGAGGCUCAACCUCGGGCCUGCAGUGGGUACGGGCAGACUAGAGUGCGGUAGGGGAGACUGGAAUUCCUGGUGUAGCGGUGGAAUGCGCAGAUAUCAGGAGGAACACCGAUGGCGAAGGCAGGUCUCUGGGCCGCAACUGACGCUGAGGAGCGAAAGCAUGGGGAGCGAACAGGAUUAGAUACCCUGGUAGUCCAUGCCGUAAACGUUGGGCACUAGGUGUGGGGCUCAUUCCACGAGUUCCGUGCCGCAGCAAACGCAUUAAGUGCCCCGCCUGGGGAGUACGGCCGCAAGGCUAAAACUCAAAGGAAUUGACGGGGGCCCGCACAAGCGGCGGAGCAUGCGGAUUAAUUCGAUGCAACGCGAAGAACCUUACCAAGGCUUGACAUAUACCGAAAACUCAUGGAGACAUGGGGUCCGCAAGGGCGGUAUACAGGUGGUGCAUGGUUGUCGUCAGCUCGUGUCGUGAGAUGUUGGGUUAAGUCCCGCAACGAGCGCAACCCUCGUCCUAUGUUGCCAGCACGUCAUGGUGGGGACUCAUAGGAGACUGCCGGGGUCAACUCGGAGGAAGGUGGGGAUGACGUCAAAUCAUCAUGCCCCUUAUGUCUUGGGCUUCACGCAUGCUACAAUGGCCGGUACAAAGGGCUGCGAUACCGCGAGGUGGAGCGAAUCCCAAAAAGCCGGUCUCAGUUCGGAUUGGGGUCUGCAACUCGACCCCAUGAAGUCGGAG
Molecule: ribosomal RNA, 761 nt
Filed under: uncultured bacterium
Lineage: Bacteria
Description: bacterial SSU rRNA
Rfam family: Bacterial small subunit ribosomal RNA
Source: RNAcentral